UAAUCAGUGCUACCAGCUGCUGUGCCUCAUCCAUGAGGGGCUGCUCCUGGCAGCGAUAGCGAGCCAUCAAGCCCGAGCCCGWCUCCCUGCUCCGACGGAGGAGCCAGCUGGAGUCAGACCAAGGCGGAAAGGAAUUAGCUGGAAGCAUCUCCUAAAUCCCCGUGGCAUUUCAUGUGUGGCAAUAGGAAACGCAGCCAGGAUUUACACUGCCGAUAGUUCCUGCAUGGCUGGAUCUCCGUGGAAAGCUAGCGUGCAAGGCGCUGUACGGCCCCGGCUGGGGGCACGUGGCUGCAACGGGACCRCAGCGACGGGAACCUGCAGCUGCGCUGGGCUCGGUGGCACUGCUGGGGCUCCCCGCGGCGGUCUGCCUUGGGCAGGCAGCGAAGAGCCUACCGAUUUGUGCGAAAAAGGAUGGAAAAUGUGAAUGACUGUAAUUGGGGGGUUUUGCAUUAGUCCUGGAAAUCCCAUGUCGGYCUCAGAAAUGCAGUCUCUGCCCCUAAACGUCUUAUAGUCCAAGGAAAAUACAGUGCUGUCGGGGAUGUCAGCCUUGCUGGGCAAGUCCCAAGGAGCCGGCUGUUUUCUUCCCUUGUUGCCUGCAAAUCCCCGACACGCUUAAAGCCUCCCUCCUGAUAGGGAGCCUAGCGCCUGAGCUCUGCAUAAACCUGCGCAAACUCGGCGGCUUAGCGUGCCGAAUGUAAUGUUCUCAGCCAGCCUCAUCUCUGCAAAUCUCCAUAUUUCCAAGGGAUAAACAUUCACCUCUCCUCCCUCCGGCUCUCACCUUAUUACCGAUUUUUCCAGCGUCGGUGUGGCAUCAGGCUCUAACCGCUGGAAGGGCAGCGGCCAGCCGGGUUUGGGGGCAGUGACGCGGGGGACUGCGGGGUCCUGCUCCGGGCUGGCCGGGCUCCCUAACGCGCAGGGCUGAUGCUGCAAACCCGACUGCAGACCUGCGUGGGGUUUAGACGAGAGGCGAGGCUGGGGCAGAGCAGGCUCCAAGCCCUGAGACACUAACCGUUCGCUCCU
RNAcentral lists this long non-coding RNA (1020 nucleotides) under Dromaius novaehollandiae (emu). Its description in RNAcentral is "lncRNA (ENSDNVG00000014212.1)". The record is from RNAcentral. Lineage: Eukaryota; Metazoa; Chordata; Aves; Casuariiformes; Dromaiidae.